GCAAUGAGGAGGUUUAGAAAAAAUAGCCCUUAGGCCUGACAAAACCAAUAAUAGCAAAAACUUAGAAAAGCCAAACAUAAAAAUUUUCUUUCAUAAGCCUCAUCCUCCACAAAACUUUUCUGACUUACUUGGGCUUCUAGAUCCGUCCCCAUGUUUUCUUUUUCCAUUUCAGUAGGGCAAAAAUCUCAUUAUGCACAAUCCUUUUUUUUUUUUUUUGGUACUGGGGAUCGAACUCAGAUCCUUGCGCUUGUGAGGCAGGUGGCAGAACCACUGAGCUAAAUCCCCAGCCCAGCACAAUCCUUUCUUACCAAAAACAUAUCCUCAUGCCCAUAACUUUUUUUUUUUUGGUAUCGGGGAUCGAAUUCAGGACUUUGCACUUGUGAGGCAGGCAUGGUGCCACUGAGCUAAAUCCCCAGCCCACCCAUAACUUUUUAUACAGCUCCUCUGUCCUACUUACUGGUCUUUUCUAUAGCAAGCCCUGUAACAGCAUAGAUUUUAAAAUGAUCCUGGCACAUUUUAUUUGGUCUCAGAGUUAAUUCACAGAUGUUUGCAUUCCAGUUAGGACUGGCUGAAUAACAGAAUUCCAAGUAACCUUGACUAGCAGAAGUAUCUUAGUGCAAGCAGAAAGAACAAGUUAACCCUGCAAUUGCAGUUUAAGAACUAUCCCAAUGCUGUUCUCAAGGAAUGUUUUAGGCAUGCAUGUCAAUUAGGCAAAAUUAGCAACUCAAACUGGAAUCCAAAGGUAAACUGACAUCAGCCAAGAUGUGCCUCAGUGGGCUUUUGUUGACUCCUGGAAGGCUGGUUCCUCUCCCAUGGCCCCCAAGACAGAUAUCAGCCUCAGCCUUGCUACCCACCAGGUCCAGUGCAGCCAAGCAUGGCCCCAAAGCAGUUCCUCCGACCUGACAUCCAGCUGUGUAGCCGACCUGUCCCUCAGGUGUGGACCCCAGCAGGAGCGCAGUCUGGUGGCCCUGACCCUCCACCAUCUCCACUUUCCUGGGACUGUUUACCCCCAGCACUGGAACCUAACCAGGUCUCUGUUCAGGCAGAUGUUGCAUGAAUUUCCUGGAGAGACACAAACUAAGACUCCAAACUGAGAGGGGACCUACAGGCCAAAGAACAACUCAGACAAAGAAUGACUCAGACAAGUGCAGGUUGGCAAAUAACUGAGUUGCGGAGCAGUGGAUGGCUUGUAGGUUGUAGCAUCACUGAAGUCACCAAUCCUUCUGUGCUAGGCUACUGAUUUUAUAGGGCACUAAUUAAAACGGCAAACGCAAGAAGCAUCCUUGGGAAAAGUGUGUACUCUGCUCCCAG
RNAcentral lists this long non-coding RNA (1311 nucleotides) under Heterocephalus glaber (naked mole-rat). RNAcentral's name for it is "lncRNA (ENSHGLG00000043346.1)". Lineage: Eukaryota; Metazoa; Chordata; Mammalia; Rodentia; Bathyergidae. The record is from RNAcentral.